GAGGAAUAUUGGUCAAUGGACGGAAGUCUGAACCAGCCAAGUAGCGUGCAGGAUGACGGCCCUAUGGGUUGUAAACUGCUUUUGUAUGGGGAUAAAGUCAAUCACGUGUGAUUGUUUGCAGGUACCAUACGAAUAAGGACCGGCUAAUUCCGUGCCAGCAGCCGCGGUAAUACGGAAGGUUCGGGCGUUAUCCGGAUUUAUUGGGUUUAAAGGGAGCGUAGGCCGGAGAUUAAGUGUGUUGUGAAAUGUAGACGCUCAACGUCUGACUUGCAGCGCAUACUGGUUUCCUUGAGUACGCACAACGUUGGCGGAAUUCGUCGUGUAGCGGUGAAAUGCUUAGAUAUGACGAAGAACUCCGAUUGCGAAGGCAGCUGACGGGAGCGCAACUGACGCUUAAGCUCGAAGGUGCGGGUAUCGAACAGGAUUAGAUACCCUGGUAGUCCGCGCAGUAAACGAUGGAUGCCCGCUGUUGGUACCUGGUAUCAGCGGCUAAGCGAAAGCAUUAAGCAUCCCACCUGGGGAGUACGCCGGCAACGGUG
RNAcentral lists this ribosomal RNA (539 nucleotides) under uncultured bacterium. RNAcentral describes it as "bacterial SSU rRNA". It matches the Rfam family "Bacterial small subunit ribosomal RNA", at positions 356 to 896 of the family's 1533-position model. The record is from RNAcentral.